UUCAAGCCUCCCAAACUUUCCAAACACCCCAAAACAAGCAUCCAACUUCUCAAACACAUGCAUACAUCCUUAACCAUGCACAAGGGAGCUUAAUAGCUUGAUUAAACUCCAAAAACAACAUCAAGACAUACAUAGAUAGCUUAUGACCCACAUAGGCCAAAACCAUCAAAACAACCCCAAUCAUGCAUACUCUCUCCCAUAUGCUCAAGGGGCUUGAAAACUAACUUAAACCCCAACACAAACAUCACAAUAACAUACAUUAUCAUACAUUGGGCAUAAAACCCACA
This 287-nucleotide long non-coding RNA is filed under the name Manihot esculenta (cassava). Its description in RNAcentral is "long non-coding RNA (MESC_LNC012714)". Lineage: Eukaryota; Viridiplantae; Streptophyta; Magnoliopsida; Malpighiales; Euphorbiaceae. The record is from RNAcentral.